Molecule: ribosomal RNA, 450 nt
Filed under: uncultured bacterium
Lineage: Bacteria
Description: bacterial SSU rRNA
Rfam family: Bacterial small subunit ribosomal RNA
Source: RNAcentral
GUGGGGAAUAUUGGACAAUGGGCGAAAGCCUGAUCCAGCCAUGCCGCGUGUGUGAAGAAGGUCUUCGGAUUGUAAAGCACUUUAAGUUGGGAGGAAGGGCAGUAAGUUAAUACCUUGCUGUUUUGACGUUACCGACAGAAUAAGCACCGGCUAACUUCGUGCCAGCAGCCGCGGUAAUACGAAGGGUGCAAGCGUUAAUCGGAAUUACUGGGCGUAAAGCGCGCGUAGGUGGUUUUGUAAGUUGGAGGUGAAAUCCCCGGGCUCAACCUGGGAACUGCCUCCAAAACUGCAUGACUAGAGUACAGUAGAGGGUAGUGGAAUUUCCUGUGUAGCGGUGAAAUGCGUAGAUAUAGGAAGGAACACCAGUGGCGAAGGCGACUACCUGGACUGAUACUGACACUGAGGUGCGAAAGCGUGGGGAGCAAACAGGAUUAGAUACCCGUGUAGUCC